GAGAAAGUAUGCAAGAACUGCUAAUUCAUGCCUCCAUGUCCAAUAAACAUGGCUCUCUCA
This 60-nucleotide transfer RNA is filed under the name Equus caballus (horse). Its description in RNAcentral is "tRNA-Ser". The record is from RNAcentral. Lineage: Eukaryota; Metazoa; Chordata; Mammalia; Perissodactyla; Equidae.